AUCGGAGCUUUACCAUGCAAGUCAAACGGCAGCAUGGAGAGCUUGCUCUCUGAUGGCGAGUGGCGAACGCGUGAGUAAUGUAUCGGAACGUGCCCAGUAGCGGGGGAUAACUACUCGAAAGAGUAGCUAAUACCGCAUACGCCCUACGGGGGAAAGGGGGGGAUCUUAUGACCUCUCACUAUUGGAGCGGCCGAUAUCGGAUUAGCUAGUUGGUGGGGUAAAGGCCUACCAAGGCUGCGAUCCGUAGCUGGUUUGAGAGGACGACCAGCCACACUGGGACUGAGACACGGUCCAGACUCCUACGGGAGGCAGCAGUGGGGAAUUUUGGACAAUGGGGGCAACCCUGAUCCAGCCAUCCCGCGUGUGCGAUGAAGGCCUUCGGGUUGUAAAGCACUUUUGGCAGGAAAGAAAUCGCACGGGCUAAUACCCUGUGUGGAUGACGGUACCUGCAGAAUAAGCACCGGCUAACUACGUGCCAGCAGCCGCGGUAAUACGUAGGGUGCAAGCGUUAAUCGGAAUUACUGGGCGUAAAGCGUGCGCAGGCGGUUCGGAAAGAAAGAUGUGAAAUCCCAGGGCUUAACCUUGGAACUGCAUUUUUAACUCCCGAGCUAGAGUGCGUCAGAGGGGGGUGGAAUUCCGCGUGUAGCAGUGAAAUGCGUAGAGAUGCGGAGGAACACCGAUGGCGAAGGCAGCCCCCUGGGAUGACACUGACGCUCAUGCACGAAAGCGUGGGGAGCAAACAGGAUUAGAUACCCUGGUAGUCCACGCCCUAAACGAUGUCAACUAGCUGCUGGGGCCUU
RNAcentral lists this ribosomal RNA (800 nucleotides) under uncultured bacterium. RNAcentral's name for it is "bacterial SSU rRNA". It matches the Rfam family "Bacterial small subunit ribosomal RNA", at positions 38 to 832 of the family's 1533-position model. The record is from RNAcentral.